Molecule: long non-coding RNA, 732 nt
Filed under: Mytilus galloprovincialis (Mediterranean mussel)
Lineage: Eukaryota; Metazoa; Mollusca; Bivalvia; Mytilida; Mytilidae
Source: RNAcentral
AUUGUGUCACGUUAAAUAACUUACUUGUCUGUACGAUACAAUUGAAUCGAAGACAACUAGCUACAUUGAAAAACUAAACUGAUGGAGAAUAGUGUAUCUGCUGCUGCUAAAUAAGGAUCUGUCAACUCGUCCUUUACAUGCAUAAAUAAAAAUAUGUCAACUCGUCCCUCACAUGCAUAAAAGUACAACUCGUCCCUCACAUGCAUAAAAGUACAACUCGUCCCUCACAUGCAUAAAAGUCCCACUCGUCCCUCACAUGCAUAAAAGUUUAAUCUUAUUAAGAAAAAGACCAACUCGUCAAACUAAUGCCAAAAAAAAACCAGAUUAAUACCUAUAUGUAAAGAUAGAAAAACACGCAGGACACAUACAAUCUGACGAAAGAAAUGCCAACUAGCCCCAAUAGUUAAAAACUUAUUACUGAUAAUAAACAAGAUCCAAAACUUUAUUUAGUAAUGAAAAUUGUACAUGUAUACAACCAUUUCUUUUUUCAAGAUAUCGAAACGUGUUGUGUUUAUAGCAUUGCGUGAUUACUGUUAUUACUUAAGAUUAAAAUAAAAACGUGUACAAAUUGUCAGACUACUCCAUCCGUAAUUUAGUCAAUGUAUACUACACUCAAAAUUGAAAACAUUGAAUAAUACAAUGAAAAAAGUCGAACCAAGCUGAUGUAGAUAAAAUUAUGUUUCCACUUGUAACCUCCGGAUGAUGUCAAGUUGAAAUCGUUAAUAAUCAAAC